This 484-nucleotide ribosomal RNA is filed under the name uncultured bacterium. Its description in RNAcentral is "partial 16S ribosomal RNA". It matches the Rfam family "Bacterial small subunit ribosomal RNA", at positions 30 to 507 of the family's 1533-position model. The record is from RNAcentral.
AUUGAACGCUGGCGGCAGGCCUAACACAUGCAAGUCGAGCGGAUGAAGGGAGCUUGCUCCUGGAUUCAGCGGCGGACGGGUGAGUAAAGCCUAGGAAUCUGCCUGGUAGUGGGGGAUAACGUCCGGAAACGGGCGCUAAUACCGCAUACGUCCUGAGGGUGAAAGUGGGGGAUCUUCGGACCUCACGCUAUCAGAUGAGCCUAGGUCGGAUUAGCUAGCUGGUGGGGUAAAGGCCUACCAAGUCGACGAUCCGUAACUGGUCUGAGAGGAUGAUCAGUCACACUGGAACUGGGACACGGUCCAUACGCCUACGGGAGGCAGCAGUGGGGAAUAUUGGACAGUGGGCGAAAGCCUGAUCCAGCCAUGCCGCGUGUGUGAAGAAGGUCUUCGGAUUGUAAAGCACUUUAAGUUGGGAGGAAGGGCAGUAAGUUAAUACCUUGCUGUUUUGACGUUACCAACAGAAUAAGCACCGGCUAACUUCGUG